This 254-nucleotide ribosomal RNA is filed under the name uncultured bacterium. RNAcentral's name for it is "partial 16S ribosomal RNA". It matches the Rfam family "Bacterial small subunit ribosomal RNA", at positions 524 to 776 of the family's 1533-position model. The record is from RNAcentral.
UACAGAGGUCCCAAGCGUUGUUCGGAUUCACUGGGCGUAAAGGGUGCGUAGGUGGCUUGGUAAGUUCGAUGUGAAAUCUCCGGGCUUAACCCGGAAAUGGCAUUGAAUACUAUUGAGCUGGAGGUUUGGAGGGGGGACUGGAAUUCAUCGGUGUAGCAGUGAAAUGCGUAGAUAUCGAGAGGAACACCAGUGGCGAAGGCGAGUCCCUGGACAACACCUGACACUGAGGCACGAAAGCUAGGGGAGCAAACAGG